UGUAAAUCGUUGAAAGGAAGAGUAUCCUGAUUUGUCGCGUAAGAGAUGAAAUGCCCUGGCUGAAAGCAUUUCUCAAGAACGUACAGGAGAAAACCACCCUUGAGUGUUGGGCUGAAAUAAGUAAGCCUGGCCGUACCCCGCGUUAAGGGAUAUCGAGUGAAAGGUCAUGCUUGUGACCUUUUAAUUGGGUGGAACCACGGGAGUGAACUCUCGUCCCUUUU
RNAcentral lists this non-coding RNA (221 nucleotides) under Desulfosporosinus sp. RNAcentral's name for it is "T-box sequence". It matches the Rfam family "T-box leader". From Rfam's summary of the family: Uncharged tRNA acts as the effector for transcription antitermination of genes in the T-box leader family. T-boxes are found upstream of many aminoacyl-tRNA synthetase genes and some amino acid biosynthetic genes usually in Gram-positive bacteria. Lineage: Bacteria; Bacillati; Bacillota; Clostridia; Eubacteriales; Desulfitobacteriaceae. The record is from RNAcentral.